This 253-nucleotide ribosomal RNA is filed under the name uncultured bacterium. RNAcentral's name for it is "partial 16S ribosomal RNA". It matches the Rfam family "Bacterial small subunit ribosomal RNA", at positions 524 to 776 of the family's 1533-position model. The record is from RNAcentral.
UACAGAGGGUGCGAGCGUUAAUCGGAAUUACUGGGCGUAAAGCGUGCGUAGACGGUAGCGUAAGUCAGAUGUGAAAGCCCCGGGCUCAACCUGGGAAUUGCAUUUGAGACUGCUCUGCUCAGGUGCGGAAGAGGGAAGCGGAAUUUCCGGUGUAGCGGUGAAAUGCGUAGAUAUCGGAAGGAACACCAGUGGCGAAAGCGGCUUCCUGGUCCGACACCGACGUUCAGGCACGAAAGCGUGGGGAGCAAACAGG